Long non-coding RNA from Microcebus murinus (gray mouse lemur), 1286 nucleotides. RefSeq lists it as uncharacterized. The record is from RefSeq and is a predicted model, not a curated record. NCBI's taxonomy places the organism in Eukaryota, Metazoa, Chordata, Mammalia, Primates, Cheirogaleidae.
UUAGUGCUAGCCUGAGUUGAGCCCUAGCAGGAUUCAGUGCCGUUGCUCUCCUCCUCCAUCCUGGAACACUGUCUUCCUUUGGCUCUGUUGACAGAAGAACCUAAGCUCUGUAAAAUAAUCGAAAGAGGUUUCUUCUAAGCUGAAUGUGUGCCACGGUGGCCCCGGGGAAACACGCUUUCAAGGGGUCUUGAGAACACGCACCUGAGGCAGCUGGGUUUCAAUCAGUUUUUAUAUGUUCAUGGAGCCAGAAUUGCAGAAUGUGCAUCCUGAAGUUUCAUACCACUAAAGACGUGAACAAAAGGAGUUCGGAAUAAUAGCAGUUCAUUAUUUUGUGGCUACCAAAGAUACUCAGUGUUUGGGCACCUUCACGCAUGGGAUUCUGAUUCUUCAAGACUCACAGGAGACCUUUCUAGCCUGCUGCCAAGGAAUGAGUACUCCAAGAAGAAUUGUUCUUUUGAAAAUAUUUUUCGGUAGCCACCCAACCCACGCUGACUGCAGUCGCAGGGGAGAUGAUUAACAAACACUUCAGAAUGGAUGAAUAAAUGAAGAGGGAUGUUUUUCUUCAUCAAUUAUCCGCAAGAUGCACAGAGAAGAGACCAGUCGACGGUAAUGAAGAGGAUGGGAAAGACACGCUUCCUGUGAGUGGACCUUGCAAGAUGAUAACGGUGUGGUUUGCGUCACUAGAAUUGCAUUUUAAAGCAGUUUGCUGUGCACCGAUCUCUGUGUUAAGUACGUUACAGACAUUGUCACCUUUAUUUACACGACAACCAUAAAAAUAAACUAAAUGCCCUUAUCCCCAUUUUACAGAUGAACUUAAGUAAGUAUAGUCUUGUUAAAACUGAUGAUCUAUGAACAACAACAAAAAGAAACUGUGUUUUUACACACACACACACACACACACACACACACACACACACACUAGAAUAUUAUUCAGCCAUAAAAAGGAGAAAAUCCUGCCAUUUGCAAUAAGGAUCAACCUGGAGGAGAUUGUGCUAAAUGAAAUAAACCAGACAAAGAAUGACAAACACACUUUAUGAUCUCACAUAUCUGGAAUCUAAAAAAGUGGAACUCACAGAAACAGAGAGUAGAGUCGUAGUUAUUAGGAGCUUGGGGGUGGGAGAAGUGGGGAGGUGUUGGUCAAAGGGCAUGAACUUUUAGUUGUAAGAGGAACAGGUUCAGGGGAUCUAAGGUACAGUAUGGGUGGUGAUGGAUGUGUUAAUUAAUUUGAGAGUAAUAAUCAUGAUGUGUAUGUAUAUUAAAUAAUCACAUGGUAUGCCUUGAAUGUA